GAUGAACGCUGGCGGCGUGCCUAAUACAUGCAAGUCGAGCGAACAGACGAGGAGCUUGCUCCUCUGACGUUAGCGGCGGACGGGUGAGUAACACGUGGAUAACCUAUCUAUAAGACUGGGAUAACUUGGGGAAACGGGGGUUAAUACCGAAUAAUAUUUUGACCGGCAUGGUUCAAUGUUAAAAUAGGGUUUUUCUUUCACUUUUAGAUGAUUCCGCGCCGCAUUAGCUAGUUGGUAGGGUAACGGCUUACCAAGGCAACGAUGCGAAGCCGACCUGAGAGGGUGAUCGGCCACACUGGAACUGAGACACGGUCCAGACUCCUACGGGAGGCAGCAGUAGGGAAUCUUCCGCAAUGGGCGAAAGCCUGACAGAGCAACGCCGCGUGAGUGAUGAAGGUCUUCGGAUCGUAAAACUCUGUUAUUAGGGAAGAACAAAUGUGUAAGUAACUAUGCACGUCUUGACGGUACCUAAUCAGAAAGCCACGGCUAACUACGUG
Molecule: ribosomal RNA, 497 nt
Filed under: uncultured bacterium
Lineage: Bacteria
Description: partial 16S ribosomal RNA
Rfam family: Bacterial small subunit ribosomal RNA
Source: RNAcentral